GACGGAGGAGGCAAGCGUUGUCCGGAAUCACUGGGCGUAAAGCGUACGUAGGCGGAUCGAUAAGUCGGGGGUUAAAGGCCGUAGCUCAACCUCGGGACGGCCCUGGAAACUGACUGGCUCGAGUGACGGAGAGGUUGGCGGAAUUCCCGGUGUAGCGGUGAAAUGCGUAGAUAUCGGGAAGAACACCAGUGGCGAAAGCGGCCAACUGGGCCGUGACUGACGCUGAGGUACGAAAGCUUGGGGAGCAAACAGG
RNAcentral lists this ribosomal RNA (253 nucleotides) under uncultured bacterium. Its description in RNAcentral is "partial 16S ribosomal RNA". It matches the Rfam family "Bacterial small subunit ribosomal RNA", at positions 524 to 776 of the family's 1533-position model. The record is from RNAcentral.